This 538-nucleotide ribosomal RNA is filed under the name Signiphora perpauca. Its description in RNAcentral is "eukaryotic LSU rRNA". The record is from RNAcentral. Lineage: Eukaryota; Metazoa; Arthropoda; Insecta; Hymenoptera; Signiphoridae.
GAAGAGAGAGUUCAAGAGUACGUGAAACCGUUCAGGGGUAAACCUGAGAAACCCAAAAGAUCGAACGGGGAGAUUCAUCGUCAGCGGCGCUGGCUUCCGUGCGGUGCGCGAUGUCGCGCGAGCGGGUCUCGGCUCGUUUCGCGCUGGCACGCCACCGCUGCGCGAUGCGUCCGGCGUCGUCGGCGUGCACUUCUCCCCUUGUAGAACGUCGCGACCCGUUGGGUGUCGGUCCACGGCCCGCUGUGUCGACUGUCGAGGAACGCGUUCACGCGCGUCCCUAGGCAGACACGCGGUCGCCCGGCCGGCUGCCCGGCGGUAGCAGUAUCUUCCUUAUGUCGUAACGAGCCGCACAAAGUGCGUACUCCGGCUCGACGGCAGGCUCGCCUCGCUCGGCGUUUACGGACCUGGUGCCGUUGUCGAGCGUUGUCUGCGGGCCGUUUCGCCGUCGAUGUCCUCGUACCGGCUCUCGAAAGUUCGCCUCGGCGGACGAUACCUGUCGGCGACGCUACUGCUUUGGGUACUUUCAGGACCCGUCUUG